Small nucleolar RNA from Tachyglossus aculeatus (Australian echidna), 137 nucleotides. The record is from RefSeq and is a predicted model, not a curated record. NCBI's taxonomy places the organism in Eukaryota, Metazoa, Chordata, Mammalia, Monotremata, Tachyglossidae.
CCCCUCUCAGAAUCGCAACUGGAGAGUUUCCAAUACACUACCAGCCUCGGCUAGAGGAGGCGAUUCAAGCAGAGGCAUACCCAUUCCAUUCCUAGCUUGGUCAGUGGCUAGCGAGUGGAAGACAAUUUACUACAAGU